UACGAAGGGGGGCUAGCGUUGCUCGGAAUCACUGGGCGUAAAGGGCGCGUAGGCGGCGUUUUAAGUCGGGGGUGAAAGCCUGUGGCUCAACCACAGAAUGGCCUUCGAUACUGGGACGCUUGAGUAUGGUAGAGGUUGGUGGAACUGCGAGUGUAGAGGUGAAAUUCGUAGAUAUUCGCAAGAACACCCGUGGCUAAGGCGGCUCUCUAGUACGGUACUGACGCUGAGACGCGAAAGCGUGGGGAGCGAACAGG
RNAcentral lists this ribosomal RNA (254 nucleotides) under uncultured bacterium. RNAcentral describes it as "partial 16S ribosomal RNA". It matches the Rfam family "Bacterial small subunit ribosomal RNA", at positions 524 to 776 of the family's 1533-position model. The record is from RNAcentral.